GGGCCCGCACAAGCGGUGGAGCAUGUGGUUUAAUUCGAUGAUACGCGAGGAACCUUACCAGGGCUUAAAUGUAGAACGACCGAUUUGGAAACAAGUCUUCUCUUUGAGCGGUCUACAAGGUGCUGCAUGGUUGUCGUCAGCUCGUGCCGUGAGGUGUCGGGUUAAGUCCCUUAACGAGCGCAACCCCUAUCUCUAGUUGCCAGCGGAUAAUGCCGGGGACUCUAGAGAAACUGCCCGUGCAAACGGUGAGGAAGGUGGGGAUGACGUCAAAUCAUCACGGCCCUUACGUCCUGGGCUACACACGUGCUACAAUGGUCGGUACAGAGGGCAGCUACCACGUGAGUGGAUGCAAAUCUCGAAAGCCGAUCUCAGUUCGGAUCGGAGUCUGCAACUCGACUCCGUGAAGCUGGAAUC
Molecule: ribosomal RNA, 414 nt
Filed under: uncultured bacterium
Lineage: Bacteria
Description: bacterial SSU rRNA
Rfam family: Bacterial small subunit ribosomal RNA
Source: RNAcentral